RNAcentral lists this ribosomal RNA (500 nucleotides) under uncultured bacterium. RNAcentral's name for it is "bacterial SSU rRNA". The stretch from base 57 to 500 matches the Rfam family "Bacterial small subunit ribosomal RNA", at positions 1 to 427 of the family's 1533-position model. The record is from RNAcentral.
AGAGUUUGAUCAUGGCUCAGAUUGAACGCUGGCGGCAUGCCUUACACAUGCAAGUCGAACGGCAGCGCGGGAUGGCUCAGAACGAACGCUGGCGGCGUGGAUAAGACAUGCAAGUCGAGCGCGAAUUUGCCUGUAGCAAUACAGGUAAGUUUGAGCGGCGCAAGGGUGCGUAACACGUGGGUAAUUUGCCGUGAAGUUGGGGAUAACUCGCUGAAAGGCGAGCUAAUACCGGAUGUGGAAUGAGAGUGGCAUCACUUUUCUUCUAAAGCUGGGGAUCGUAAGACCUGGCGCUUCAUGAUAAGCCCGCGGCCUAUCAGCUAGUUGGUGCGGUAACGGCGCACCAAGGCUAAGACGGGUAGCUGGUCUGAGAGGACGACCAGCCACACUGGAACUGAGACACGGUCCAGACACCUACGGGUGGCAGCAGUCGAGAAUUUUUCUCAAUGGGCGCAAGCCUGAAGGAGCGACGCCGCGUGUGGGAUGAAGGGUUUCGAUCCGUA